RNAcentral lists this transfer RNA (71 nucleotides) under Marmota monax (woodchuck). Its description in RNAcentral is "tRNA.Ala". It matches the Rfam family "tRNA". Rfam says of the family: Transfer RNA (tRNA) molecules are approximately 80 nucleotides in length. Their secondary structure includes four short double-helical elements and three loops (D, anti-codon, and T loops). Lineage: Eukaryota; Metazoa; Chordata; Mammalia; Rodentia; Sciuridae. The record is from RNAcentral.
GGGGUUGUGGCUCAGCGGUAGAGCGCUUGCCUUGCACGCACGAGGCCCUGGGUUCGAUUCUCAGCACCACA